This 542-nucleotide transfer RNA is filed under the name Leptolyngbyaceae cyanobacterium EY08-AM1. RNAcentral's name for it is "16S-23S ribosomal RNA intergenic spacer". The stretch from base 205 to 277 matches the Rfam family "tRNA". Lineage: Bacteria; Bacillati; Cyanobacteriota; Cyanophyceae; Leptolyngbyales; Leptolyngbyaceae. The record is from RNAcentral.
UAAGGGAGACCUCCCGCUAAGGCUAAAAUCGAAAGAGAGUAAGAAUUAGACGGUCAACCUAAGGUCGGUCGAGGCAUCUAGAAAGUGGCUUUCAAACUAUCUAGGGAAAGGAAAUGGGCUAUUAGCUCGGGUGGUUAGAGCGCACCCCUGAUAAGGGUGAGGUCCCUGGUUCGAGUCCAGGAUGGCCCACCAUUCUUAUUAAAAGGGGGUUUAGCUCAGUUGGUAGAGCGCCUGCUUUGCAAGCAGGAUGUCAACGGUUCGAGUCCGCUAACCUCCAUAGGGCGAAAGCUCUAGUUUGAGGAGUAUAUUCAGCACCUCAUCUCGGUUUUUUAGCUAGCCUUUUGCAUAGCUAAAGGGUUUGACUGAGACUGCUGGAUGAACUCCAGUGAGAACCUUGAAAACUGCAUAGUAACUUGUCAGGUAGAAAGCUAGGGGGCAGGUGAUAGAAGCAGGCGAUAGGGUUUCCCUACUGCCUAACUCUUACACCCUACAACCUAGUUAUCACAGACACCAAUGUGCAACUUGAGAAAGUUGAUUUAAGU